GAGACUGCCCUGGGGAAUGAAAUUGUUUGUUUACCCACAGAACACGUACAGCAUGGGCACCAGCAGUGUAGACUUUCCCAUGCUGUUGCAUUGCUGUUCUCCAGCCUUGCUCUCCAAUGCCUUUCUGUAGAGCAGUUCACACUCCAGGCCCUGCCCAAAUUCCAGGUGUU
RNAcentral lists this small RNA (170 nucleotides) under Cyanistes caeruleus (blue tit). Its description in RNAcentral is "TUC338 (ENSCCEG00000019556.1)". The record is from RNAcentral. Lineage: Eukaryota; Metazoa; Chordata; Aves; Passeriformes; Paridae.